GAUGAACGCUGGCGGCGUGCCUAAUACAUGCAAGUCGAGCGAACAGAUGAGGAGCUUGCUCCUCUGACGUUAGCGGCGGACGGGUGAGUAACACGUGGAUAACCUACCUAUAAGACUGGGAUAACUUCGGGAAACCGGAGCUAAUACCGGAUAAUAUAUUGAACCGUAUGGUUCAAUAGUGAAAGACGGUUUUGCUGUCACUUAUAGAUGGAUCCGCGCCGCAUUAGCUAGUUGGUAAGGUAACGGCUUACCAAGGCGACGAUGCGUAGCCGACCUGAGAGGGUGAUCGGCCACACUGGAACUGAGACACGGUCCAGACUCCUACGGGAGGCAGCAGUAGGGAAUCUUCCGCAAUGGGCGAAAGCCUGACGGAGCAACGCCGCGUGAGUGAUGAAGGUCUUCGGAUCGUAAAACUCUGUUAUUAGGGAAGAACAAAUGUGUAAGUAACUAUGCACGUCUUGACGGUACCUAAUCAGAAAGCCACGGCUAACUACGUG
RNAcentral lists this ribosomal RNA (497 nucleotides) under uncultured bacterium. RNAcentral describes it as "partial 16S ribosomal RNA". It matches the Rfam family "Bacterial small subunit ribosomal RNA", at positions 28 to 507 of the family's 1533-position model. The record is from RNAcentral.